GAUGAACGCUGGCGGCGUGCCUAAUACAUGCAAGUCGAGCGAACAGACGAGGAGCUUGCUCCUUUGACGUUAGCGGCGGACGGGUGAGUAACACGUAGGUAACCUACCUAUAAGACUGGGAUAAUUUCGGGAAACCGGAGCUAAUACCGGAUAAUAUUUCGAACCGCAUGGUUCGAUAGUGAAAGAUGGCUUUGCUAUCACUUAUAGAUGGACCUGCGCCGUAUUAGCUAGUUGGUAAGGUAACGGCUUACCAAGGCAACGAUACGUAGCCGACCUGAGAGGGUGAUCGGCCACACUGGAACUGAGACACGGUCCAGACUCCUACGGGAGGCAGCAGUAGGGAAUCUUCCGCAAUGGGCGAAAGCCUGACGGAGCAACGCCGCGUGAGUGAUGAAGGUCUUCGGAUCGUAAAACUCUGUUAUUAGGGAAGAACAAACGUGUAAGUAACUGUGCACGUCUUGACGGUACCUAAUCAGAAAGCCACGGCUAACUACGUG
RNAcentral lists this ribosomal RNA (497 nucleotides) under uncultured bacterium. Its description in RNAcentral is "partial 16S ribosomal RNA". It matches the Rfam family "Bacterial small subunit ribosomal RNA", at positions 28 to 507 of the family's 1533-position model. The record is from RNAcentral.